Non-coding RNA from Acanthopagrus latus (yellowfin seabream), 520 nucleotides. NCBI's taxonomy places the organism in Eukaryota, Metazoa, Chordata, Actinopteri, Spariformes, Sparidae. The record is from the annotation of a RefSeq genome assembly.
GGUGCCUCAAGUGAAACUGUUGUAAUUCAAUUAAAGGAGUCAACAUGUGCUCUGAUUUCUCUACAUCACUUCCUGUCCCUCCUUCUGAUCCACAAAGCACAGCAGAGACUCUGACUGGUUCUCCACAUUCAACAUGAAGCCGUCUCAUCUCAUCGUCUCCAUCCUUACUUUGUUCUGGAUUAAAGGAGUUCACCUCAAUGAAGAAAAACAAGUAAUUCAGACUCCACCUGAACUGUUCAUGAAUCCAGAUGAUCAAUCCAAGCUGAGCUGUUCACAUCGGAUCCCCAGCUAUACCAUGAUUUUCUGGUACCAGCGCUCACCAGGAGACACUGCCCUGAAGCUGAUUGGAUAUAUGUGGAAUAAAAAUCCUACUGUUGAGCCAUCAUUUCAGAGCCACUUUAAUGUGAGUGGAGAUGGAGCGAAAGAAGCUUAUCUUCACAUCCUGAAAGCGAGACACCCUGAAGACAGUGGAGAAUAUUUUGCAGCAGCAACACAGCAGAGACUCUGACUGGUUCUCCAC